CCUUAUCUGAAUAUUAUUUCAAAAUUCCGCUGCUGAUCCAGUGGGGUGGCCUAGUCGAUAGGUUUAAAUAUUAUUCAAGUGAUGCUGCCGCGUGUACUGUGAAUACAAGGUACUUCAGUUGUAUUUUCCUCAAGAGACUCCUUAGAUAUUGAUCAGUGGAAUAAAGUUAUUGAGCAGCUGGGAACACCAUCAGCAGAGUUCAUGAAGAAACUUCAGCCAACUGUGAGGAAUUAUGUCGAAAACAGACCAAAGUAUCCUGGAAUCAAAUUCGAAGAACUCUUUCCAGAUUGGAUAUUCCCAUCAGAAUCUGAGCGAGACAAAAUAAAAACAAGUCAAGCCAGAGAUCUGUUAUCAAAAAUGUUAGUGAUUGAUCCUGACAAGCGGAUCUCUGUAGAUGAAGCUCUGCGUCACCCAUACAUCACUGUUUGGUAUGACCCUGCCGAAGCAGAAGCCCCACCACCUCAAAUUUAUGAUGCCCAGUUGGAAGAAAGAGAACAUGCAAUUGAAGAAUGGAAAGAGCUAAUUUACAAAGAAGUCAUGGAUUGGGAAGAAAGAAGCAAGAAUGGUGUUGUAAAAGAUCAGCCUUCAGGUUAGUGAUUGCUUUAAUUGAUUGUAUGAUAUUUUUCUUUCCCUAUUCAACUUUUUUUUUUUUGAGACAGAGUUUCGCUCUGUUGCCCAGGCUGGAGAGCAGCGGCGCGAUCUCUGCUCACUGCAACCUCCGCCUCCUGGGUUCAAGCAAUUCUCCUGCCUCAGCCUCCCGAGUAGCUGGGACUACAGGCAUGUGCCACCAUGCCCUGCUAAUUUUUGUAUUUUUAGUAGAGACGGGGUUUCACCAUAUUGGCCAAGCUGGUCUCGAUCUCUUGACCUUGUGAUCCGCCCGCCUCAGCCUCCCAAAGUGGUGGGGUUACAGGUGUGAGCCACUGCACCUGGCGUCUUUCCCGAUUCAACUUUUAUAAAUGGCAGCAACAUGUGAAAUGCCAGCCUGGCUAGCAUCAGAUUUAAAAACCACUGUGUGAAUAGCCACCCUUUUUGGCUUGUCAUAGUGGUGGUGGUGGUGGAUGACAUUUUACUGAUGUGCCAGGCACUGAACUUUGUUAUAAGCAUUUCUCUUUCAUCUUUGCAAUAACUGCUGUCACCUCCAUUUACAGAUGAAGAAAUUGAAUUUAAAGCCUUUUCAAUGUUGAUAACCCUUUGUACUGGUCCCACCCAAAAUACCAAUCUAAGUAAAAUGGAGUAUGGUAUUCUUUUUGAGAAAAUUGUUGAUAUCAUUCUUCCAUUUUUCUGCUUGAUCUACUGAUCUUCAUAGUGGUGGAAGCCUCUAAUGACCAGGUAGUUGUAUGAUCAUGAGACUCUGAUAUGAGUCGUGUUCACUUACGUCUGAAGGAUUCUUCCUGUUUACUAAAUGAAACGCUCAUGUUAUAUCAUUGUCUCUCUCCCACUCCCACUGGGAAGCAUGCACACACGUGCGUGCGGAUGUGCAGAGAGCACAGCUUACUUUUUAUUCUUGAAUUUUAUGCUCAACAUGACGUAUGUGCCAAGCAUCUAGAGAUUAUAUAACUUCAGCAAGAACUUAGGUGCUUGUUAACUGAGCACACACGUAUGACUGCAGACGUCGAUCUCAGAGAGUGCAUGUUGUAUUUUUAUUCAAACCAGACUAAAAUAUGGAUAAUAGGAAAUAGGAUAGUUUCAUUCGCUUUAAAAGAUUAAAAUGUCAGUUUUCUGGAGUUAUAAAACCAUAAAAUAUACAAGGCCACUAAUUUUUUUCCUUUUUCUAGUAUAUAGUCUUUAUUUAUUGCAAAAGAUUUCUUUGAAAGUUGAUGCUUUUUUUCCUGUAGAUUUAGUGUUUAUGUUAUAAAUUGUUACAAUUCAAGUGUCUGGUGACACUGGAAUCCUAGUCAGGCUUAAGCUUUUGUGAUACUGCAUUUUCAGAUAAAUAUAGCUGUGUCCUUUUGAUGUCUGCUUGAAAGCAGCAGGUAUUUUUUAAGUAGCUAACAUGAUUAUACAUGGCCACAUGUAUGUUUAGCUACUGAGAAAAAAAGAAGAAUCUUGCAAGGAAAGACAUAGGAAUAUGGGACUCUUGGCCCAAAGAAAGACUCAAGGAAAAGUUCAGAAAGUCCAGCUGACUGACUUCUUGUCUAUACUCAUAGUUAGGGUUGGGAAACUGCAAAAGGACAGAGCCGAGAAAUGGCCUGCAGUCUCGCUGCCUGGAUUUGCAGCAAUGUCGUGCCUCAGAUUUUAUUAUAUUUGGUUUUCUUAGCACAGA
RNAcentral lists this small RNA (2263 nucleotides) under Pan troglodytes (chimpanzee). Its description in RNAcentral is "retained intron". The record is from RNAcentral. Lineage: Eukaryota; Metazoa; Chordata; Mammalia; Primates; Hominidae.